Peromyscus maniculatus bairdii (prairie deer mouse) is the source of this 5453-nucleotide non-coding RNA. Lineage: Eukaryota; Metazoa; Chordata; Mammalia; Rodentia; Cricetidae. The record is from RefSeq and is a predicted model, not a curated record.
AAUAUUACACUUAAAAAAAAAAAAAAGACAGAACUGCUCCCCUCAUUCUUGCUCUUGCAGCCCAGUCACCUCAGUGUAUUCCAGAGCCAGACUGUUCUGCACAGGGAUGAUGGCAGGAGCUGGAAUGGCAACAUCCCACCCUCCUUAGACAUCCUGUCGAUGCCUCACAUCCUCUCUGUUCCAACUCCAAGAGAUGCUUCCUAAAGGUUCCCCGUCCCCCUGACUUACUGCAUCUCAGAGAAAACUCUCGGGGGUUCAGUCCCAGCUAACAGCACUGUCUUUACCACACAACAGCAGAAGCCACAGACAUCGUGCUCAGAACUGGGGCAUUCACAGUUCUUGGCACAAGGUGAAUGAGAUAAUGAACAACUUGGGUGGAGCUAUUCUGAUUUCUGGGCUCAGUUUUCCUAUUUAUUGUUGCAAUCUGUUCAUAUUUGAUCAGUGUUGCAAAUUGUUAAGUCGGAGACGCUAUUUACAGCCAUGUUCUAUUGAUAACACUUCUCGGAAGAGCAAGCGCACAUGGGGAUGAUUUUCACAGGGAGCCCGCUGUAUGUGAAACGGGAGAAGGGCACAGGUGAGUCUUCCAUGCUGCCAAUCUACAAUGCACUAAGGUGUAGCAGCUUGUCAUGGGAAGCGAAGCUAACAGUUGGGAAAGUGCUCUGUGGGUGACAGGCCUCGUGAGUGUCAUGGUGCUAUGCCCAAGAGCUUCAUGCCACCCCUCUGGUCUCAUUCUGUUGUUCACGGUGCCACUGACAGGGUUAGGGGGCCUUCAAUAGCCAAGCAGCCUUAAACAGACCUGGAAAUCCAAAGCAACUGAUUUGGGGGCCCUCCCACUCCCACACAGGAGCAGGGGUGGCCCUGUUUGUGAUUCCACACCUUCUGCACAGGGGUAGUGUGCUGCUUACUAUCUGUAACUUGCAGCAAUUUCUAGCUCAUUAUCUCCAGUUUGUUCACCCUUGUUCCGGGCAGACAGGGGUGCUGCGAAACAGAGCAGUUCCAUUACCACUGUGGAUACAGACCACACAUACCCACAUGUGUGUGUAUAGAUCAUGUGUACACAUGUGUCUGCACAUAUACACUAAUGCCCAGCACACACCAGCCUUGCUAAGAGUAGCAAGCUGGGGAAGUACUCAACUGGACAUUUGUCCAUCCAAGAAUGGCAGGGCAUGGCAAGCCAGCAGGCAGGCUGUUCCGGACAGUCAUGGCCAGGACACUGAGGGCUCAACAUAUGGUGGGCCCUGGUACCGUGUUCUGUGCUUAUAGUACCUCAUUUUAUAUCACAAUGACCUUGCAUGUCUGUAUUAUCAUCUGUCUACAGGGGAGGAAGCUCCCCUGAAGCUCAAAGCGGUCACUGGGGUGGAUGCCAAAGGGCCAAAGGGAUCUGGACAAGGAGACAAAUUGGAAACUGGGCCAGAGAGGAGAGGAGACCAGGGUGACCAAGAGGAAAGGUGUAAGACCAGAUACCACAGGCGUGCAGGGAAAACUCUCCUGCAAUAAGACAAAGGAUAUUGCACCUUGCACUUGCUGACCUAAGGAAGUAAAGCCUGCAAGAUGGGCAUGCCAAACUCCCACACUUGGGCUCAAAUAAUCAAUAUCACAGGAACAGGAUCAGCCCGAUAAUCUGUACACAAGAACCAGCUUGGAAUUCAAUGGAGAAGGCACCAAGUCUGAAAUCUGUGUGGACUGUAUUGCCAUCAGGACAACAUGAAAUCUUCUAAACCAUGAAUAUGGUAUACCUUUCUCCUGAGUUAGGGCUUCAGUUUCCUCAAAUGAUAUUUUGCAAUGAUUGGUAUAUGAGUUAAUACCUGCUUGGGUUAAGUUUAUUCCUAAUAAUUUUAUGACUUGAGUAUUAAGAAAAGCAUUGUUUCUUGAACUUCAGUUUCUGGCUGUUCUUUGCAAAUGUCCAGAGAUAGAACUGAUUUUUGUAUAUAUAUCUCACACCCAGCAAUUCUGCAGAACUUCUUGGUCCUGGUGAUGUUUUCAUAGACCAUCCAAGAUCAUUUCAUCCACAAACAAAAUGUCAUCUUGCUUCUUCCUUUCCAAACUGGGUGCAUGGGGCUGGAGAGAUGGCUCAGUGGUUAAGAGCACUGACUGCUCUUCCAGAGGUCCUGAGUUCAAUUCCCAGCAACCACAUGGUGGUCCUCUUCUGGUGUAAAAGUGUACACACAGAUAGAGCACUCAUAUACAUACAAUAAACAAACUGGAUGCCAUGAAUUCUAUCUCCUGGCCCAAUGACCAUGACUAGAACUUUCUAUAUGAGGCUGAAUGGAAAUGACAAGAGAAGACAUCUGUCUUCCUUCUGACCUCAGGAGGAAGGCUUUCAGUCUCGCCCCAGGUGUGAUACAGCUGUGGACGUUCCUUAGACAUGCUUUUAUCCCACGUUAGGUUAUGGUUUCCUUUCAUUCGCUAUUUUCUAUUACAGAGAUUCUCCCUAUAGCUGCCAAGGAGAGCCUGCUGGGAUAAAAGGCUGAGUCUGUCAUCGCCUUUUCCUUAGACCUUAGGAUUCUGCCCAAGCUCAGAUCCCCCCUCCUCACUUCCCUGAGCCUGCUUUUCACCACCAUUGCUUCACUCUUUACCUCCAGCAACAAAGCCAACUCGGGACUUUCUGUUUUCUAAGGUACUCUGUACUUGACUUUCUUCUGCCCCUUCUGCCUGGAAAGCGAGCCCUGGGACCAUCCAUUUGCUGAUAUGAACUUUCUUCCUCUAUGGGACAAACAUUUUGUGCAAUGGGCCACACUGCAUCUCCUGUUACGUUUGCAGGCCUAUCUUUUCCCCACAGACAGCCAGUGUCCUAAAAAGUGUCUCUGCAUUAGUGACAUUUGCUCCAGGCAUUUAACACAAGGCUUAAGCAUGCCAUUAUGAGUGCAUGAAUGAAUGAAUGAAUCCUCAGAGACAUCCUUCACUACUGGCCAAGCAACUUUUUUAAAAAUAAAAACUUGAUUUUAAUACUCAAUUACGAUAGGUCCUGGGGGAGCAAUCUGUACCCUUUUUUGUAAUUUUGUAAAAUACAGGGUUCUUCACAACCUUCCCCUACCUGUCUCUCCCUUCCUACAAUCUGUGGCACACUCUAGAAACCACACACAACUCUCCCAGCUCAACAGAGUUCUUGCAAGGCUCGCAGGGUGCUCAUGUCAGACCCUCUGUCCCUGCCACCAUCUGUCUGGAAGCCCUGCCUCAUCCACUCACACUUGAUCUUUGGGUCCUCAAUCAAUUUACAGAGCUGACUCCUGUGCUUGGUGUCUCAGAAGCAUCUUGAGUCCCAAAUCUAAGACUGAAGUCAUGGUCACCUCCAUCCUGCUACUGCUAUCAAGAUCCCAUCCCUUUGCCAAGUGUCAAGGCCUGGUAAAAACUCCACUGUCCAUCCAAACACCCAGGGGACGGACAGGGACACACACACACACACACACACACACACACACACACACACAAAACAAACAAACAAAAAACCAUGUGCCAUCUUCUGCUGUUCAAAAGCACUUCUGAAGGCCUCCCACUCCUUGGCACCAUGCCGCCCCUUUCUUCCCAGCCUCCACUGUGUACCUUGCUCUGGCACAGCGGCUGCUCAAUGGCCCUCUGCCUCCACAUGGCACCUGGAGUGGACCCUCCAGCCUGCUCCAUUAGCCCCUCCUCAUUUUCAGUCCUCAAGCUCCCCCACCCCCCAGCCCCUCACUGUUCUGCUGACAGAUCCCCCACCUCCGGUGGCCUUGCAUGUGGCUCUCCUGGCCCACCCCCGAGCACUCUACCUCUCUUCCUCCCCUUGCUAGAGCAUCAGUCUGCUCUCAGCUUGUACUUCACCUCCUCAGGAAAACCCGAGCGGAUGCCGUUGACUAAGCCAGUCCACAGCCACUCAGGACCACACCCCUCCUCUUCAUGGCUUUCCUAUAAGUUUGAAGUAACACAUCAUUUGAAUGGGACUGUCAUGGCUACAAAGCAGAACCCUAUGGGAGAAGGAGCCACAGUCCACCUGGGCACAGUAUACGGCUGACAUGGAAGGCAGCAAGUGAGUGUACCUUAUCUAUUCUCCUAUCUACCUCUCAGAGAAACAGCUCUGGCAUGUGUUGCAGGUGUCCCAGGGUGGUCCGGCAACUCCUACCAGAGCCCUCCAUCCAUUUGCCUCGUUCAUAGAGUGGCAAGUCCAGAAGAGACACACCUUCCUCAGAGCAAGGAGUUGUCAGUACAGGCCCGGUGAGGCUGUAGCAAACAAAGCCUUGGACCACCAAGGAAGCUGCAGAGAGGGAGCCGGGAAAGAACUCCUACUCCCACCACUGUAUGAGAUCAAAUGAAGGCCAUGCUCGUGACUCCUGUGCUAUGGGGAGAACCCCUGUCUCUGGUAGAAAGAGAAGACCCAUGUGGCAACCUAUAGGAGACCACAGAUGUCCAUAAGGACUACUUCCAGACCCGGGCAUCUGAGAAACUGCUUCGGUCAAUUAAAAGGAGAGUUUCAUUUGUAUUGAUACAGAACCCUUCAAUGAAGACAGAUAAAGUUCUUUGGUCUAUUGACAUGUGGCUCCCCUCCUUUGGCUGUCAAUCAAUGCCCAAAAGAGCAGGGGAGAAAAAUCGAUUGUAUAAUUGUGGGAUUGAUUUGGCAAUGCCUGAUGGGAAAGGGUUUGUAUUCAAACAACACAGAUGAGCCUCUCAGGCUGGGAGUGUAGCUCUGUGGAAGAGUGCCGCCUAGCACAGGUUCAAUACCCAACACUAACAAAAAAGAAAAGCGGGAAAGAUCCCUUCAGAGACACUGGCAAACCUCCUGAGUUUACCACGUUUGAGGACAUGCAUCCUUUAGAUGGCCAAAGUGCUCAGCACUUUCCCCAUGGAAUGCAUGGAGAGGGCUACAGAUAGGGGGGACCCGUGAGCCUGGCCUCAGAGCACACAGCUGUGUGAUGAAGGACAACUUUCUUCACCUCUUCAGAGACUCAGUUCACUCUCUUUCUCAUUAGCAAGGGCAAAAGUCAAUGAAGAUGGGACAGUGGCGGGGCCUGACCUGCAGGAAGCCCUCGAUGUGUGUUGUACGGUUGUACACACCCUGGGCUUUUAUCCUAUGACUUCUCUGACCUUGGUGACAAAUACAUUGAGCCAGCAGGACUGGCUGGGGCACCGGGAGACUCAAACACUGUCUCUAACUCAAACACUCAGCUGUAUGCACCCCACGCCUGCUUCUGCGUACCAAAAUGGUGAGGACGCCUCACAUAGGCUCCAUAGCUGUCACAGGCUCCAGUGGCCUCUGGAAAGGGUCACAACAUGCUGCACGACACUUCUAUUGUCACUGCAGGCAAAACAUUAACGAAUUACUUUUCAUUCGUUUUCCUUCUAUCACGCAAGUAAGAAGCCACACGAUUCCUUAUAGAAAUCUGGCAACAGUUAUAUCUGCAGUGGAGAUGAGUUCAGCUUUGCCGUGAAAGGGGAGAGCUAAGAGGCCGACAUCAGCUCCCUACCCAUGCUCCCUGGUCAGCAGC